This 440-nucleotide ribosomal RNA is filed under the name uncultured bacterium. RNAcentral describes it as "bacterial SSU rRNA". It matches the Rfam family "Bacterial small subunit ribosomal RNA", at positions 338 to 790 of the family's 1533-position model. The record is from RNAcentral.
CCUACGGGAGGCAGCAGUGGGGAAUCUUGCGCAAUGGGCGAAAGCCUGACGCAGCGACGCCGCGUGCGGGAAGAAGGCCUUCGGGUUGUAAACCGCUUUCAGGAGGGAAGAAGCGAAAGUGACGGUACCUCCAGAAGAAGCCCCGGCCAACUACGUGCCAGCAGCCGCGGUAAUACGUAGGGGGCAAGCGUUGUCCGGAAUUAUUGGGCGUAAAGAGCUCGUAGGCGGUCCAUUAAGUCGGAAGUGAAAUCUCAGGGCUCAACCCUGAAAUUGCUUUCGAUACUGGUGGACUUGAGGCAGGUAGGGGAAGGUGGAAUUCCUGGUGUAGCGGUGAAAUGCGCAGAUAUCAGGAGGAACACCAAUGGCGAAGGCAGCCUUCUGGGCCUGUUCUGACGCUGAGGAGCGAAAGCGUGGGGAGCAAACAGGAUUAGAUACCCCAG